UGGGCUUGACAUACAUGUGAAACCCCCUGUUUCCAGGGGGUUUCACAUGUAUGUCAAGCCCAGGUAAGGUUCUUCGCGUUGCUUCGAAUUAAACCACAUGCUCCACCGCUUGUGCGGGCCCCCGUCAAUUCCUUUGAGUUUCAGCCUUGCGGCCGUACUCCCCAGGCGGGGCACUUAAUGCGUUAGCUACGACACCGAACCCGUCUAUAGGCCCGGCAUCUAGUGCCCAUCGUUUACGGCGUGGACUAC
RNAcentral lists this unclassified non-coding RNA (249 nucleotides) under uncultured Gemmatimonadota bacterium. RNAcentral describes it as "uncultured Gemmatimonadetes bacterium contains 16S-23S intergenic spacer region". The record is from RNAcentral. Lineage: Bacteria; Pseudomonadati; Gemmatimonadota.